This 220-nucleotide ribosomal RNA is filed under the name uncultured bacterium. Its description in RNAcentral is "partial 16S ribosomal RNA". It matches the Rfam family "Bacterial small subunit ribosomal RNA", at positions 15 to 225 of the family's 1533-position model. The record is from RNAcentral.
GAUCAUGGCUCAGGAUGAGCGCUAGCUACAGGCUUAACACAUGCAAGUCGAGGGGCAGCAUGGUCUUAGCUUGCUAAGGCCGAUGGCGACCGGCGCACGGGUGAGUAACACGUAUCCAACCUGCCGUCUACUCUUGGACAGCCUUCUGAAAAGGAAGAUUAAUACAAGAUGGCAUCAUGAGUCCGCAUGUUCACAUGAUUAAAGGUAUUCCGGUAGACGA